UUAAGUUCAGCGGGUCUUCCUGCCUGAUUUGAGACCAUGGUUCAAGUUGAAUCCCGAAAGAUCCAACUUUAAUAGUUGAGUGCCGGACAAACACCAUCACCCGUACUUGGUAUUAGAGAAACCGAGGUUCCAUACACAUACUUUUCCGUUACUUGACAGUAUCCAGCAGCUAUAGUUUUAAAGGCACGCAGGGUUAGUGC
RNAcentral lists this unclassified non-coding RNA (200 nucleotides) under fungal sp. RNAcentral describes it as "partial internal transcribed spacer 2". The record is from RNAcentral. Lineage: Eukaryota; Fungi.